UGGGGAAUAUUGGACAAUGGGCGAAAGCCUGAUCCAGCAAUGCCGCGUGUGUGAAGAAGGCCUGCGGGUUGUAAAGCACUUUUGUGAGGAAAGAAACAGUGGCGGGGUAAUAUCCCGUCGCCUUGACGGUACCUCAAGAAUAAGCACCGGCUAACUCCGUGCCAGCAGCCGCGGUAAUACGGAGGGUGCAAGCGUUAAUCGGAAUUACUGGGCGUAAAGCGUGCGUAGGCGGUUAUCUAAGUCGGAUGUGAAAGCCCCGGGCUUAACCUGGGAAUUGCAUUCGAUACUGGGUAACUAGAAUCUGACAGAGGCUAGCGGAAUUCCGGGUGUAGCGGUGAAAUGCGUAGAUAUCCGGAGGAACAUCAGUGGCGAAGGCGGCUAGCUGGGUCAAGAUUGACGCUGAGGUACGAAAGCGUGGGGAGCAAACAGGAUUAGAUACCCCCGUAGUCC
RNAcentral lists this ribosomal RNA (450 nucleotides) under uncultured prokaryote. RNAcentral's name for it is "bacterial SSU rRNA". It matches the Rfam family "Bacterial small subunit ribosomal RNA", at positions 355 to 796 of the family's 1533-position model. The record is from RNAcentral.